This 512-nucleotide ribosomal RNA is filed under the name uncultured Glomus. RNAcentral describes it as "SSU rRNA". It matches the Rfam family "Eukaryotic small subunit ribosomal RNA", at positions 569 to 1085 of the family's 1831-position model. The record is from RNAcentral. Lineage: Eukaryota; Fungi; Glomeromycota; Glomeromycetes; Glomerales; Glomeraceae.
AGCAGCCGCGGUAAUUCCAGCUCCAAUAGCGUAUAUUAAAGUUGUUGCAGUUAAAAAGCUCGUAGUUGAAUUUCGAGAUCAAAUUGUUGGUCGUGCCUUGGUACGCACUGGCAUUAUUGGUUUCUCCCUUCUGACGAACCAUGAUGUCAUUAAUUUGGUGUCUUGGGGAAUCAGGACUGUUACUUUGAAAAAUUAGAGUGUUUAAAGCAGGCUCACGCUUGAAUACAUUAGCAUGGAAUAAUGAAAUAGGACGUUUGAUUCUAUUUUGUUGGUUUCUAGGAUCGACGUAAUGAUUAAUAGGGAUAGUUGGGGGCAUUAGUAUUCAAUUGUCAGAGGUGAAAUUCUUGGAUUUAUUGAAGACUAACUACUGCGAAAGCAUUUGCCAAGGAUGUUUUCAUUAAUCAAGAACGAAAGUUAGGGGAUCGAAGACGAUCAGAUACCGUCGUAGUCUUAACCAUAAACUAUGCCGACUAGGGAUCGGAUGAUGUUAAUUUUUAAUGACUCAUUCGGCG